Taeniopygia guttata (zebra finch) is the source of this 464-nucleotide non-coding RNA. Lineage: Eukaryota; Metazoa; Chordata; Aves; Passeriformes; Estrildidae. The record is from RefSeq and is a predicted model, not a curated record.
GCUAAAAAGUAAAGAAGUCCAUUAGUAGACACAGAAGGCACCUCCCCCUAUUCCUUGGUACCUCUCAUGAAUCUGAAAUGAGGGCAAUCCUUUGGGGCACUCCAAUGCAAGACCCUUUGUGAGAACAUAGUGAGACAACUAAGCCAGCAGUUUCCUGCAGCUCCAUCCAAGGCUGUUCUUGGAACACAGUUUUCAAGCCUGCUUGCCCAUGCUGAUGUGCUGCUGUUCAAGGAAGUAUUUGCUAAUUCAUGCAAUGUCCUGGGAGCAGUGGUUCUGAGCUGCAGCAGCAGAGGUCUCCUGUCCUCAUGGAAACACUUGCACACAGAACCAUCACCUCCCCUCUGGCUCUUACCUGUACCAGUUGGUGAGUGUCAUCAUGAUGUAAAGAGAGGCAAGGAAGAGCAUGAAGUGGAAGAAGGUGUAGCUGUACUGAACCCCGUCCUUCUCGUUGUCCGCGACACGGC